GAUGAAGAACGUAGUGAAAUGCGAUAAGUAAUGUGAAUUGCAGAAUUCAGUGAAUCAUCGAAUCUUUGAACGCACCUUGCGCCCUUUGGCCAUUCCGAAGGGCAUGCCUGUUUGAGUAUCAUGAACACCUCAACUCUUCAUGGUUUUCCAUGAUGAGCUUGGACUUUGGGGGUCUUGCUGGCCUGUGGGUCGGCUCCUCUCAAAUGAAUCAGCUUGCCGGUUUUUGGUGGGCAUCACAGGUGUGAUAACUAUCUACGCUUGUGGUUUUCCACCAGGGUAACCUUCAGCAGUGGAGGUUCACUGGAGCUUACAAAUGUCUCUCCUCUGUGAGGACAGCCCUUUGAAUGUUUGAUCUCAAAUCAGGUAGGACUACCCGCUGAACUUAAGCAUAUCAAUAGCGGAGGA
Molecule: unclassified non-coding RNA, 405 nt
Filed under: soil metagenome
Description: partial contains 5.8S ribosomal RNA, internal transcribed spacer 2, and large subunit ribosomal RNA
Rfam family: 5.8S ribosomal RNA (bases 1-121)
Source: RNAcentral